RNAcentral lists this ribosomal RNA (245 nucleotides) under uncultured bacterium. Its description in RNAcentral is "partial 16S ribosomal RNA". It matches the Rfam family "Bacterial small subunit ribosomal RNA", at positions 796 to 1041 of the family's 1533-position model. RNAcentral also lists the same sequence under 1 other name. The record is from RNAcentral.
CACGCCGUAAACGUUGGGCACUAGGUGUGGGACCUUUCCAACGGGUUCCGUGCCGCAGCUAACGCAUUAAGUGCCCCGCCUGGGGAGUACGGCCGCAAGGCUAAAACUCAAAGGAAUUGACGGGGGCCCGCACAAGCGGCGGAGCAUGUUGCUUAAUUCGAGGCAACGCGAAGAACCUUACCUGGGUUUGACAUGUAGGGAAAAGCUGCAGAGAUGCAGUGUCCUUCGGGGCCCUACACAGGUGG